GAUUAACGCUAGCGGCAGGCAUAAUACAUGCAAGUUGAACGGCAGCACAGGUAGCAAUACUGGGUGGCGAGUGGCGCACGGGUGCGUAACACGUAUGCAACCUACCCUAUACAGGCGAAUAACCUUUAGAAAUGAGGGCUAAUACGCCGUAGUAUUACAGAUGGGCAUCUAUUUGUAAUUAAAGAUUUAUCGGUAUAGGAUGGGCAUGCGUCCCAUUAGUUAGUUGGUAAGGUAACGGCUUACCAAGACGAUGAUGGGUAGGGGAUCUGAGAGGACUUACCCCCACACUGGUACUGAGACACGGACCAGACUCCUACGGGAGGCAGCAGUAAGGAAUAUUGGGCAAUGGACGCGAGGCUGACCCAGCCAUGCCGCGUGCAGGAAGACGGCCUUAUGGGUUGUAAACUGCUUUUAUACGGGAAUAAUAGAGUGUACGCGUACAUUUAUGCAAGUAUCGUAUGAAUAAGCAUCGGCUAACUCCGUG
This 484-nucleotide ribosomal RNA is filed under the name uncultured bacterium. RNAcentral describes it as "partial 16S ribosomal RNA". It matches the Rfam family "Bacterial small subunit ribosomal RNA", at positions 28 to 507 of the family's 1533-position model. The record is from RNAcentral.